This is a long non-coding RNA of Gallus gallus (chicken), 1452 nucleotides long. RefSeq lists it as uncharacterized. NCBI's taxonomy places the organism in Eukaryota, Metazoa, Chordata, Aves, Galliformes, Phasianidae. The record is from RefSeq and is a predicted model, not a curated record. The transcript has 11 exons.
UCUCCAUCCUUUUAUGUCCAAAAUGCAGGGUUAACAGAUAUGUUGUAUAUGAGAAGAGCUUGAGCACCACUGAAUCUUGCCAAAUGACUUCAAUAAAAGAUGGCUCCUCAGAAUAUAUGACCCAGGAAGACCUGACCAGAAAUUCAAUGUUUUGGGCACACUGGCAAAAUGUGGUAACAGAAAGUUUUCUCUCCUGGCAUUCUCUUAUUCCAGAACAGUAAAAGUUAUUCAGAAUUACUCCUGGGGAGCGAGAGCCUGACGUACCAUCGAGCUUAUCAUACAAGAAACGUUUCCAGACCGACAAUACAGAAUGCAGGUCCCCACAGCUCAGCAUACAAGAAACAAGCUCCUGAUAAAUGCCUGCUGCUAAAUAACGCAUUUUGUCUGUAGAUCUUCCUGAUACCUUCAGGAACUGCAUGCACAGCCAGAUGUAAUAGACUCUGCAGGUGAAAAUUCUGAAAAUACUUAUCUGCAUACAAGCAUAGCUUCAGGUGCAUUCCCUACAGCUGCUGAUGCUUACAGAAAGAGAUCCACAUACCAUCUCAAUAGGUAUGAGAGCAAGCAGAAAUAGAGAAAACAGAGAUAAAGAAAACUUUGGCACAGACCAGGACCUGCUAUCCCAAGAUAGGCAAUGAAGGUACUGCAGCUUUCUCUGACACGCAGUCAAAAACUUGCAGAGAUGAGUUUGUGAAGCCCACACUUAAAUCACCAGUGAAUACCAACUCACCUGGAGAUUUUGCGUAUGAGGCAUGAAAGCAGGAGAAAUUAAUCAAAGCAUAUGAAGCCAGGAAGAAAUUGGAGAUGAUGGGAGCAAUGGUGUUCAACUGAGCUGCAAGACACAAUUCAGAUAUCUCCUGAGAUGUUGGCUCCCGCGAGAAUGCCAGUGGCAGCUGGGAAGAAGAUGGCAAACACUGAGAAAAAUCCUUCUCCACUUCUGAAAUCUGGUCCAAAGUUUUCUGCAAAUAUUGAUGCUGCAAAUACAGUUCUAAGCUUUUGUCACCGCAGAAUAUGAAAAGAGUCCUAUUCUAGACCUGAUUCCUACAUUCUGAGCUUUACCUUUGCUUCCCAUUCCAUGCCGGCAACAGAGAUGCCAAGAAGACAUACAACAGUUAUGGUACCUAUUAUUCUGAUAUCAUUGGACUCAUCUACCAUUAUUGUAUCACUCUCCUGGAAAGAAGAAAAUAUUUACUCGUCUUCUAAGGAGGUAGCUGAAAUGCAAGGGGUAUUAUAAAGAAUUAUACUGGAAGGAAUUAAGUUGAAGAUAUCCACCGGUCUGCAUCAUACUUAAAAAUAAGAGGAAGAGUGCCUCGUGCUUGUUUUGUCCAAGGAUGUCCAACCUGAAAGGCUCUGAAUAGGAAAGACCUGCUGAAAGGUAAGAAUGAAAAAAUUGAGAAGCCAGAUGCCACUCCUCAGUCUGCAUUUGGCAGGAACAUCUGAAAUGUACUCCAUAGA